GGUUAAGCGACUAAGCGUACACGGUGGAUGCCCUGGCAGUCAGAGGCGAUGAAGGACGUGCUAAUCUGCGAUAAGCGUCGGUGAGGUGAUAUGAACCGUUAUAACCGGCGAUUUCCGAAUGGGGAAACCCAGUGUGUUUCGACACACUAUCAUUAACUGAAUCCAUAGGUUAAUGAGGCGAACCGGGGGAACUGAAACAUCUAAGUACCCCGAGGAAAAGAAAUCAACCGAGAUUCCCCCAGUAGCGGCGAGCGAACGGGGAGGAGCCCAGAGCCUGAAUCAGUGUGUGUGUUAGUGGAAGCGUCUGGAAAGGCGCGCGAUACAGGGUGACAGCCCCGUACACAAAAAUGCACAUGCUGUGAGCUCGAUGAGUAGGGCGGGACACGUGGUAUCCUGUCUGAAUAUGGGGGGACCAUCCUCCAAGGCUAAAUACUCCUGACUGACCGAUAGUGAACCAGUACCGUGAGGGAAAGGCGAAAAGAACCCCGGCGAGGGGAGUGAAAAAGAACCUGAAACCGUGUACGUACAAGCAGUGGGAGCCUCUUAAUGGGGUGACUGCGUACCUUUUGUAUAAUGGGUCAGCGACUUAUAUUCUGUAGCAAGGUUAACCGAAUAGGGGAGCCGAAGGGAAACCGAGUCUUAACUGGGCGUUAAGUUGCAGGGUAUAGACCCGAAACCCGGUGAUCUAGCCAUGGGCAGGUUGAAGGUUGGGUAACACUAACUGGAGGACCGAACCGACUAAUGUUGAAAAAUUAGCGGAUGACUUGUGGCUGGGGGUGAAAGGCCAAUCAAACCGGGAGAUAGCUGGUUCUCCCCGAAAGCUAUUUAGGUAGCGCCUCGUGAAUUCAUCUCCGGGGGUAGAGCACUGUUUCGGCAAGGGGGUCAUCCCGACUUACCAACCCGAUGCAAACUGCGAAUACCGGAGAAUGUUAUCACGGGAGACACACGGCGGGUGCUAACGUCCGUCGUGAAGAGGGAAACAACCCAGACCGCCAGCUAAGGUCCCAAAGUCAUGGUUAAGUGGGAAACGAUGUGGGAAGGCCCAGACAGCCAGGAUGUUGGCUUAGAAGCAGCCAUCAUUUAAAGAAAGCGUAAUAGCUCACUGGUCGAGUCGGCCUGCGCGGAAGAUGUAACGGGGCUAAACCAUGCACCGAAGCUGCGGCAGCGACACUAUGUGUUGUUGGGUAGGGGAGCGUUCUGUAAGCCUGUGAAGGUGGCCUGUGAGGGUUGCUGGAGGUAUCAGAAGUGCGAAUGCUGACAUAAGUAACGAUAAAGCGGGUGAAAAGCCCGCUCGCCGGAAGACCAAGGGUUCCUGUCCAACGUUAAUCGGGGCAGGGUGAGUCGACCCCUAAGGCGAGGCCGAAAGGCGUAGUCGAUGGGAAACAGGUUAAUAUUCCUGUACUUGGUGUUACUGCGAAGGGGGGACGGAGAAGGCUAUGUUGGCCGGGCGACGGUUGUCCCGGUUUAAGCGUGUAGGCUGGUUUUCCAGGCAAAUCCGGAAAACCAAGGCUGAGGCGUGAUGACGAGGCACUACGGUGCUGAAGUGACAAAUGCCCUGCUUCCAGGAAAAGCCUCUAAGCAUCAGGUAACAUCAAAUCGUACCCCAAACCGACACAGGUGGUCAGGUAGAGAAUACCAAGGCGCUUGAGAGAACUCGGGUGAAGGAACUAGGCAAAAUGGUGCCGUAACUUCGGGAGAAGGCACGCUGAUAUGUAGGUGAAGCGACUUGCUCGUGGAGCUGAAAUCAGUCGAAGAUACCAGCUGGCUGCAACUGUUUAUUAAAAACACAGCACUGUGCAA
This 1800-nucleotide ribosomal RNA is filed under the name Escherichia coli. RNAcentral describes it as "partial 23S ribosomal RNA". It matches the Rfam family "Bacterial large subunit ribosomal RNA", at positions 1 to 1828 of the family's 2925-position model. Lineage: Bacteria; Pseudomonadati; Pseudomonadota; Gammaproteobacteria; Enterobacterales; Enterobacteriaceae. The record is from RNAcentral.